AUGUUCGGGCGACAGGACGUGCCAGCUUUGUGUCAGGAAAAAGUACAUAAUCAGAGAAUUGAGCAUUUGUGGAGAGAUGUAUGGAUGGCAGUGACCCAGGUCUACUAUGAAAUUCUACAUACCCUGGAAGAAGAUGGCCUACUUGACACUGCAAUGACAUUCACAUGUUUUGCACACACUACAUCUUCCUACCUCGGCUGAAUGAUGACCUGGCCAAAUUCAGUGGUGGGUGGAACAACGACCCACUGCGCACUGAGCAAAACCUGACCCCAAACCAGCUGUGGAUCAUGGGCCACAUUCAGAAUCCCACCACUGAAGCAGAAAACAUUGAGCAGCAUCCAGAGGUCGACACCAUUGACUGGGAAAAUGGAGGGAUUACAUGUGUAUUGAAGUACCACACAUUCCAAGCCCAUUUAGUCCUGUAGAAAUGGAACAGCUACAAGCUACCAUUAACCCUAGAGGACCAUCACCAUGCUUUGGCAGAGACAUUUAUUUGAACAUGCUGCAGUAUGUACAUAGAUUUCUUGCCAACUGAACCAAUAAUGACUAACAUCAUUUGACAUAGUGUAUACAAACCACUGCAUGUAAAUAUAACAAUUUGUAAUGCACACUGCACUCUUAAAUUGACAUUUUCUUUUUCUGAAUUUAGAGAUGUCAAAGUUGAAAGUAAUAAAAUGUAAACUGUAAAAUUGAACGCUCUACUGCAGUCA
Molecule: long non-coding RNA, 710 nt
Organism: Monopterus albus (swamp eel)
Lineage: Eukaryota; Metazoa; Chordata; Actinopteri; Synbranchiformes; Synbranchidae
Exons: 3
Source: RefSeq, a predicted model, not a curated record